AACUUACAAUAGGACCAUAAAGCGUUUCCCCCAAUCAGACUGGAUGGGAGGCAGCUGAGAAAUGAACAUAUUACUGAAGAGGUUAGGUAGUGACAGAUACCUGAUGCCAGUUUCAUCAGUCAGCUGAUUGCAGAAGCCAUCACACGAAGCAUCGGGGAGUGCUGACGUUCCGGUUGUGGGUGACGUCGGGUCCGGGGACCGACACCUAUGGAACCGGGGGUGCCUAAGCCAGCUCGUCGGUCUGUCACGCCCUAGCUGGCUCGAGAGGUUCCUUGCCCCGUUUGGCUCAGAAGGCCAACCGGGGCCUCAGCCGUAUCGUCAGGUUUUUACGCCCAGUCGGCUCGUCAGGCUGCUACGCCUCCGCCGGAUCGACAGGCCUUCAUGCCUCAGCCAGCACGCCAGGCUCUCACGCCUCUGCCGGUUCGUCGGGGUUUCACGCCCAGCGCCUGUGCCUCGGUCGGCCCGUAAGUUGGGUGCUCCUGUGGGGGUGGUACUGUCACACCUGCCUUCUCCCCAUCAUGUGCAUCAUCUAUUAUUGGGCUCACCUGGACUCAAUCACCUCUGUCAUUACCUUCCCUAUAUCUGUCGGGUUCCUCGCUCUGUUCCCUGCUUCUGCAUUCAUGUUUGUAAAGCUAACAUGCUGACCGCAAAAUAAAUUUACACAUACACGUUAUUCGAUAAUUUCACCCACACUGCUCGUGCGCGUCAAUGAGCGUCUGAGUAGCCAGCCGCUAAAAUAUAACUUGGUUCUAUUUGUGACACUUGACUCGCUGCAAGUCCCGCCUCUCCCUCAUUGGUUUAUAGGAGCAUAUACCCAUGUGGGUGAUUGAAAGAUGAACGGUCCACAUUCCAGUCCAGUUGGUAGUGGUAAUGCACCUUAAAGCUGGUUGCCAAACGCCAUAUAGUCCAAAGAAGGAGAAGCCUGAAGGAGGAGAGAUUACUAGAAACAAACCUUUAACCUUUUAUCUGUGGAUGAACUGUCAGAGUAGAGGACCUUGUGCAUUUCAGGUAAAAUAAUAACCCAAUGUUUAUGUCCCAGGACAAGUUGAAUGGCUGUGAUAGGCGAAAACUAGGAUGGAUAAACAGCAUUGUA
Non-coding RNA from Oncorhynchus mykiss (rainbow trout), 1093 nucleotides. NCBI's taxonomy places the organism in Eukaryota, Metazoa, Chordata, Actinopteri, Salmoniformes, Salmonidae. The record is from RefSeq and is a predicted model, not a curated record.